RNAcentral lists this unclassified non-coding RNA (143 nucleotides) under uncultured Capnodiales. RNAcentral describes it as "sequence contains ITS2". Lineage: Eukaryota; Fungi; Ascomycota; Dothideomycetes; Capnodiales. The record is from RNAcentral.
CACCACUCAAGCCUGGCUUGGUAUUGGGCCCCCGGGGAGCGACCCGGGCCCGGAAAUCUUCGGCUGGACGACCCGAUUCUCAGCGUUGUGGCAAUCAAUUCGCCGACGAGGAGGGGAGGCCGCGCCGGUAAACAUCAUUAAGG